GACGAACGCUGGCGGCGUGCCUAAUACAUGCAAGUCGAGCGGACGGAUGGGAGCUUGCUCCCAGACCGUCAGCGGCGGACGGGUGAGUAACACGUGGGCAACCUGCCUGUAAGACUGGGAUAACUCCGGGAAACCGGGGCUAAUACCGGAUAACUCUUUCCCUCACAUGAGGGAAAGCUGAAAGAUGGCAUCUCGCUAUCACUUACAGAUGUGCCCGCGGCGCAUUAGCUAGUUGGUGAGGUAACGGCUCACCAAGGCGACGAUGCGUAGCCGACCUGAGGGGGUGAUCGGCCACACGGGGACGGAGACGCGGCCCAGGCUCCUACGGGAGGCAGCAGUAGGGAAUCUUCCGCAAUGGACGAAAGUCUGACGGAGCAACGCCGCGUGAGUGAUGAAGGUGUUCGGAUCGUAAAACUCUGUUGUCAGGGAAGAACAAGUACCGGAGUAACUGCCGGUACCUUGACGGUACCUGACCAGAAAGCCACGGCUAACUACGUG
This 498-nucleotide ribosomal RNA is filed under the name uncultured bacterium. RNAcentral's name for it is "partial 16S ribosomal RNA". It matches the Rfam family "Bacterial small subunit ribosomal RNA", at positions 28 to 507 of the family's 1533-position model. The record is from RNAcentral.